This 484-nucleotide ribosomal RNA is filed under the name uncultured bacterium. RNAcentral describes it as "partial 16S ribosomal RNA". It matches the Rfam family "Bacterial small subunit ribosomal RNA", at positions 29 to 507 of the family's 1533-position model. The record is from RNAcentral.
AGUGAGCGCUGGCGGCAGGCCUAACACAUGCAAGUCGAGCGGCAGCGGGUCCUUCGGGAUGCCGGCGAGCGGCGGACGGGUGAGGAAUGCGUCGGAAUCUGCCUUUUUGUGGGGGAUAACGUAGGGAAACUUACGCUAAUACCGCAUACGACCUACGGGUGAAAGUGGGGGACCGCAAGGCCUCACGCAGAAAGAUGAGCCGACGUCGGAUUAGCUAGUUGGCGGGGUAAAGGCCCACCAAGGCGACGAUCCGUAGCUGGUCUGAGAGGAUGAUCAGCCACACUGGAACUGAGACACGGUCCAGACUCCUACGGGAGGCAGCAGUGGGGAAUAUUGGACAAUGGGCGCAAGCCUGAUCCAGCCAUGCCGCGUGUGUGAAGAAGGCCUUCGGGUUGUAAAGCACUUUUGUCCGGAAAGAAAUCCUGUCGGCUAAUACCCGGCGGGGAUGACGGUACCGGAAGAAUAAGCACCGGCUAACUUCGUG